Molecule: long non-coding RNA, 226 nt
Filed under: Elaeis guineensis (African oil palm)
Lineage: Eukaryota; Viridiplantae; Streptophyta; Magnoliopsida; Arecales; Arecaceae
Description: long non-coding RNA (EGUI_LNC024530)
Source: RNAcentral
GAUCCUUAAGCGAUAAUGUUUUAUAACGGGAUAAACAAUUGAGCCAGACUACAAUGAAUUUAAACUUUUAAGGGUAAUUGAUGUUUUUUAAAUUUUUAGAAUCUGAGUAUCAAUAAUCCAAAUAUGAAGAGAUGUCUCUAUAAUUUUUUAAUAAAUAUAUUAUCUUAAGUUUCCCAUAUUUGUUUCAAAAAGAUUCCAAUGACAAAGUUUCAGUCAAAAAAGAUGC